UAGGGAAUCUUCGGCAAUGGGGGCGAACCCUGACCGAGCAACGCCGCGUGAGUGAAGAAGGUUUCGGAUCGUAAAGCUCUGUUGUAAGAGAAGAACGUGUGUGAGAGUGGAAAGUUCACACAGUGACGGUAACUUACCAGAAAGGGACGGCUAACUACGCGCCAG
RNAcentral lists this ribosomal RNA (165 nucleotides) under uncultured bacterium. Its description in RNAcentral is "partial 16S rRNA". It matches the Rfam family "Bacterial small subunit ribosomal RNA", at positions 355 to 511 of the family's 1533-position model. The record is from RNAcentral.